UCAGCCUACGGGGGGCAGCAGUGAGGAAUAUUGGUCAAUGGCCGGAAGGCUGAACCAGCCAAGCCGCGUGAAGGACGAAGGUGCCAAGCAUUGUAAACUUCUUUUGUCAAGGGACAAAAUCAGGCUCGAGAGCCUGACCGAGGGUACUUGAAGAAAAAGCAUCGGCUAACUACGUGCCAGCAGCCGCGGUAAUACGUAGGGUGCAAGCGUUAUCAGGAUUUAUUGGGCGUAAAGGGCUCGUAGGCGGGUCGUCGCGUCCGGGGUGA
RNAcentral lists this ribosomal RNA (266 nucleotides) under uncultured bacterium. RNAcentral describes it as "partial 16S ribosomal RNA". It matches the Rfam family "Bacterial small subunit ribosomal RNA", at positions 331 to 597 of the family's 1533-position model. The record is from RNAcentral.